UCGACCAAUGGUGACAACUGCCAGCAUAUGUGUCUCACAUGAUGAAUGAUACAUGUCUGAAACUCUGAGGUCCGA
Small nucleolar RNA from Callithrix jacchus (white-tufted-ear marmoset), 75 nucleotides. The record is from Ensembl. NCBI's taxonomy places the organism in Eukaryota, Metazoa, Chordata, Mammalia, Primates, Cebidae.